RNAcentral lists this ribosomal RNA (903 nucleotides) under Staphylococcus aureus. Its description in RNAcentral is "partial 23S ribosomal RNA". It matches the Rfam family "Bacterial large subunit ribosomal RNA", at positions 974 to 1878 of the family's 2925-position model. The record is from RNAcentral. Lineage: Bacteria; Bacillati; Bacillota; Bacilli; Caryophanales; Staphylococcaceae.
AACUUGGGAGUCAGAACAUGGGUGAUAAGGUCCGUGUUCGAAAGGGAAACAGCCCAGACCACCAGCUAAGGUCCCAAAAUAUAUGUUAAGUGGAAAAGGAUGUGGCGUUGCCCAGACAACUAGGAUGUUGGCUUAGAAGCAGCCAUCAUUUAAAGAGUGCGUAAUAGCUCACUAGUCGAGUGACACUGCGCCGAAAAUGUACCGGGGCUAAACAUAUUACCGAAGCUGUGGAUUGUCCUUUGGACAAUGGUAGGAGAGCGUUCUAAGGGCGUUGAAGCAUGAUCGCAAGGACAUGUGGAGCGCUUAGAAGUGAGAAUGCCGGUGUGAGUAGCGAAAGACGGGUGAGAAUCCCGUCCACCGAUUGACUAAGGUUUCCAGAGGAAGGCUCGUCCGCUCUGGGUUAGUCGGGUCCUAAGCUGAGGCCGACAGGCGUAGGCGAUGGAUAACAGGUUGAUAUUCCUGUACCACCUAUAAUCGUUUUAAUCGAUGGGGGGACGCAGUAGGAUAGGCGAAGCGUGCGAUUGGAUUGCACGUCUAAGCAGUAAGGCUGAGUAUUAGGCAAAUCCGGUACUCGUUAAGGCUGAGCUGUGAUGGGGAGAAGACAUUGUGUCUUCGAGUCGUUGAUUUCACACUGCCGAGAAAAGCCUCUAGAUAGAAAAUAGGUGCCCGUACCGCAAACCGACACAGGUAGUCAAGAUGAGAAUUCUAAGGUGAGCGAGCGAACUCUCGUUAAGGAACUCGGCAAAAUGACCCCGUAACUUCGGGAGAAGGGGUGCUCUUUAGGGUUAACGCCCAGAAGAGCCGCAGUGAAUAGGCCCAAGCGACUGUUUAUCAAAAACACAGGUCUCUGCUAAACCGUAAGGUGAUGUAUAGGGGCUGACGCCUGCCCGGUGCUGGAAGGUU